Molecule: unclassified non-coding RNA, 361 nt
Filed under: soil metagenome
Description: partial contains 5.8S ribosomal RNA, internal transcribed spacer 2, and large subunit ribosomal RNA
Rfam family: 5.8S ribosomal RNA (bases 1-120)
Source: RNAcentral
GAUGAAGAACGUAGCGAAAUGCGAUAAGUAAUGUGAAUUGCAGAAUUCAGUGAAUCAUCGAAUCUUUGAACGCACAUUGCGCCCGGUAGUAAUCUGCCGGGCAUGCCUGUCCGAGCGUCAUUUCAACCCUCGAACCACUAUUCGCGUAGCUGGAUCGGUGUUGGGGCACUACGGUGGAAUACCCGUAGGCCCCGAAAUGAAGUGGCGGUCCCGCCGCGGCGCCCCCAUGCGUAGUAACAUCUCGUCUCGCAUCGGGUCCCGGCGGAGGCCUGCCGUCAAGCCUAUUUUCUAAUUACAGAUGGUUUGACCUCGGAUCAGGUAGGGAUACCCGCUGAACUUAAGCAUAUCAAUAAGCGGAGGA